AGGGGAUUAGUCCAACACAAGACCUCUGAUUUCGACUCAGAAAAUCGUGGUUUGAUUCCAUGAUCCCCUU
Molecule: transfer RNA, 70 nt
Filed under: Cycleptus elongatus (blue sucker)
Lineage: Eukaryota; Metazoa; Chordata; Actinopteri; Cypriniformes; Catostomidae
Description: tRNA-Arg
Rfam family: tRNA
About the family: Transfer RNA (tRNA) molecules are approximately 80 nucleotides in length. Their secondary structure includes four short double-helical elements and three loops (D, anti-codon, and T loops). Further hydrogen bonds mediate the characteristic L-shaped molecular structure. tRNAs have two regions of fundamental functional importance: the anti-codon, which is responsible for specific mRNA codon recognition, and the 3' end, to which the tRNAs corresponding amino acid is attached (by aminoacyl-tRNA synthetases). tRNAs cope with the degeneracy of the genetic code in two manners: having more than one tRNA (with a specific anti-codon) for a particular amino acid; and 'wobble' base-pairing, i.e. permitting non-standard base-pairing at the 3rd anti-codon position.
Source: RNAcentral